This 278-nucleotide small RNA is filed under the name uncultured Roseovarius sp. Its description in RNAcentral is "5' ureB small RNA". It matches the Rfam family "5' ureB small RNA". Lineage: Bacteria; Pseudomonadati; Pseudomonadota; Alphaproteobacteria; Rhodobacterales; Roseobacteraceae. The record is from RNAcentral.
AUCUGUUGCGGACAGAUAAAGUGGAUGUGGCUGUCAAACCCGCCCGCCGUCAGGAUGCGCCCCUCUCCGGCGAUCACCUCGGUGCCGGGGCCGAUGAUGAUAUCGACGCCCGGUUGCGUGUCCGGAUUGCCGGCCUUGCCAAUCGCAUGGAUAAGCCCGCCUUUGAGCGCGACAUCGGCCUUGUAGAUACCCGAGUGAUCCACGAUCAGGGCAUUGGUGAUCACCAUAUCCACGGCGCCGCCUGCGCGGGUGACCUGCGAUUGGCCCAUGCCGUCGCG